RNAcentral lists this ribosomal RNA (246 nucleotides) under uncultured bacterium. RNAcentral describes it as "partial 16S ribosomal RNA". It matches the Rfam family "Bacterial small subunit ribosomal RNA", at positions 524 to 767 of the family's 1533-position model. The record is from RNAcentral.
UACGUAGGGUGCAAGCGUUAAUCGGAAUUACUGGGCGUAAAGCGUGCGCAGGCGGUGAUGUAAGACAGUUGUGAAAUCCCCGGGCUCAACCUGGGAACUGCAUCUGUGACUGCAUCGCUGGAGUACGGUAGAGGGGAGUGGAAUUCCGCGUGUAGCAGUGAAAUGCGUAGAUAUGCGGAGGAACACCGAUGGCGAAGGCAAUCCCCUCGGACGUCGUACUGACGCUCAUGCACGAAAGACGUGGGG